UAGGGAAUCUUCGGCAAUGGACGACAGUCUGACCGAGCAACGCCGCGUGAGUGAAGAAGGUUUUCGGAACGUAAAACUCUGUUGUUAGAGAAGAACAAGGACGUUAGUAACUGAACGUCCCCUGACGGUAUCUAACCAGAAAGCCACGGCUAACUACGUGCCAGCAGCCGCGGUAAUACGUAGGUGGCAAGCGUUGUCCGGAUUUUUUGGGCGUAAGGCGAGCGCAGGCGGGUUGUUAAGUCUGAUGUGAAAGCCCCCGGCUCAACCGGGGAGAGUAAUUGGAAAGUGGGUGACUUGAGUGCAGAAGGGGGGAGUGGAAGUCCAUGUGUAGCGGUGAGAUGCGUAGAUAUAUGGAGGAACGCCAGUGGCGAAGGCGGCUCUCUGGUCUGAACCUGACGCUGGGGCUCGAAAGCGUGGGGAGCAAACAGG
This 429-nucleotide ribosomal RNA is filed under the name Chloroflexota bacterium. RNAcentral describes it as "Chloroflexi bacterium partial 16S ribosomal RNA". It matches the Rfam family "Bacterial small subunit ribosomal RNA", at positions 355 to 776 of the family's 1533-position model. Lineage: Bacteria; Bacillati; Chloroflexota. The record is from RNAcentral.